RNAcentral lists this ribosomal RNA (403 nucleotides) under Fusobacteriota bacterium. RNAcentral describes it as "Fusobacteria bacterium partial 16S ribosomal RNA". It matches the Rfam family "Bacterial small subunit ribosomal RNA", at positions 355 to 776 of the family's 1533-position model. The record is from RNAcentral. Lineage: Bacteria; Fusobacteriati; Fusobacteriota.
UGGGGAAUAUUGCACAAUGGGGGAAACCCUGAUGCAGCGACGCCGCGUGAGCGAAGAAGGUUUUCGAAUCGUAAAGCUCUGUCCUAUGGGAAGAUAAUGACGGUACCAUAGGAGGAAGCCCCGGCUAACUACGUGCCAGCAGCCGCGGUAAUACGUAGGGGGCAAGCGUUGUCCGGAAUCACUGGGCGUAAAGGGUUCGCAGGCGGAAAUGCAAGUCAGUUGUGGAAGGCAGAGGCUCAACCUCUGUAAGCAAUUGAAACUGUAUUUCUUGAGAUGUGGAGAGGCAAGUGGAAUUCCUAGUGUAGCGGUGAAAUGCGUAGAUAUUAGGAAGAAUACCGGUGGCGAAGGCGACUUGCUGGACACAAACUGACGCUGAGGAACGAAAGCGUGGGUAGCAAACAGG